GGCUGUGUAGCUCAGUCGGUUAGAGCGCACCACUCAUAAUGGUGAGGUCGGCGGUUCGAGCCCGCCCACAGCUA
This 74-nucleotide transfer RNA is filed under the name Nesterenkonia sedimenti. It matches the Rfam family "tRNA". Rfam says of the family: Transfer RNA (tRNA) molecules are approximately 80 nucleotides in length. Their secondary structure includes four short double-helical elements and three loops (D, anti-codon, and T loops). The record is from Rfam by way of RNAcentral. Lineage: Bacteria; Bacillati; Actinomycetota; Actinomycetes; Micrococcales; Micrococcaceae.